This 532-nucleotide ribosomal RNA is filed under the name uncultured bacterium. RNAcentral describes it as "bacterial LSU rRNA". It matches the Rfam family "Bacterial large subunit ribosomal RNA", at positions 785 to 1314 of the family's 2925-position model. The record is from RNAcentral.
CCUGUUGAAAAAGUCUCGGAUGAGCUGUGGAUAGGGGUGAAAGGCCAAUCAAGGCUGGAAAUAGCUGGUUCUCCGCGAAAUCUAUUUAGGUAGAGCCUCGAGUGAAUACCCCAGGGGGUAGAGCACUGGAUGGGCUAGGGGCCCCCACAGGGUUACCAAACCUAACCAAACUCCGAAUACCUGGGAGUACUACUCGGGAGACACACGGCGGGUGCUAACGUCCGUCGUGAAAAGGGAAAAACCCUGACCGACAGCUAAGGUCCUCAAGUCAUGGCUAAGUGGGAAAGGAUGUGGAAAUCCCAAAACAACCAGGAGGUUGGCUUAGAAGCAGCCAUCCUUUAAAGAAAGCGUAACAGCUCACUGGUCUAAAUAAGGGUUUCUGCGCCGAAAAUGUAACGGGGCUAAAGCCAUGCACCGAAGCUUCGGGUGUGCGCAAGCACGCGGUAGCGGAGCGUUCCGUAAGUCUGUGAAGGGAGACCCGUGAGGGCUCCUGGAGAUAUCGGAAGUGCGAAUGCAGACAUGAGUAACGACA